Long non-coding RNA from Tupaia belangeri chinensis (Chinese tree shrew), 765 nucleotides. RefSeq lists it as uncharacterized. The record is from RefSeq and is a predicted model, not a curated record. NCBI's taxonomy places the organism in Eukaryota, Metazoa, Chordata, Mammalia, Scandentia, Tupaiidae. The transcript has 2 exons.
CAUUUUUACCUGCUUCUCCCUCUCCUAGCAGACCAGGGCUUCCCAGCCUGAGGUGACUGGUCUCCCAAGGACAUGCGGUGAUGCCUGCAGGUGUUUUUGAUUGAUGCAAAUGGAGGGGUUGCCCCUGACAUCUGGUUGGUAGAAGUCAGGGAUGGUCAACAUCCCGCAAUGCCCAGGAUGGGACCCUCCCGCGACCAAGACUUCGCUGGCACCAAAUGCCAUUAGGGCUGGGGCUGGAAACCCUGCUGUUGUGUAUUAGUUCCAGCUACUAUGACUGCAGUUCUUCUAAUAGCAUCCCUCCCAUUCCCAGUGUAGGAAUUCCAACCCAUCCUCGGCUGGGAAACCAGUUAAUCGAGCUCUACGACUGGUUCUAAGGGUCUAGCAGAAUGCCUGAGACACGGUGAUGCCUAGAGAGGAAUCAGUGAAUACCUACAUGCUUGCCACAUCCGGGGUGUCUGGUGAAGCUACGGUUACUGACAAGUUGACUCAGAACGUGUUGGUCUGCUGCGAUAACUGCCCACCAGUGGAUUCUGUUUUCUGUGUGUGCACGUGUGGGGAGCGGUUCUCACCUAAUCUUAUCCAGGAUGGAUAGAUCCAACGGCUUCUCUGCUGGGCUCAGGAAGUUUCGGUCUGGUUAGUGCUGAUUCCACUCCCCAGCCUACUGUAGAAACUCAUCCCACGCCAGGCACUGGGCUGGUGAGCAGGCAUUGGGAUUUGCAGCACACAUACACAUGUGCUGGCGUGUUUUUCAAGCCGCUGAGGGCC